Ricinus communis (castor bean) is the source of this 983-nucleotide long non-coding RNA. RefSeq lists it as uncharacterized. The record is from RefSeq and is a predicted model, not a curated record. NCBI's taxonomy places the organism in Eukaryota, Viridiplantae, Streptophyta, Magnoliopsida, Malpighiales, Euphorbiaceae. The transcript is spliced from 2 exons.
UAUAGGAUCAGAAUUGUUUUUUAUUAGAAAAAUAAUUUAAAGUUAUUAGAUAGUUUUGAUAUUAUUAUAAUUGCUUAAUUUAUUUUAUUUAUUAAGAAAAGAGUGAAUUAUAUUUUUCUUUUUGUUCAACAUGUAAUUAAUCCGAGCCAAAUAUGUAAAAAAAUAAAAAAUCCGAACAUGGAAACAAUGCUAAAUUGAGCUCAGAAUACAAAAUCAACAGUUAAAUUGAACUUUGUUCUUUGUUUUUAUAUAGUUCAAAGUUCAUAGGUUCAUUUUUUUAUACGAAAAAUUAAAAUUAAGUGGAGACUUCUAGAAACACCUGCAGAGUAGGGGCUGUACUGUAAUUUGAUACGGAAUGCAGAACUUAAAAAGACAAUAAUCUGAGGACCCAUAGCGCAAAAGUACGAACCAAUCGGUAGUCAAACAGUUAAAGAAAAGGUACAAUUUAGAAAUUUUAUGGAUAUAAAAGAAGCUUGCAAACAGGCUUCUCAGGAUCUCGCCCGUGAGUCACUUAUUGAGAUUUCUUAUUCCCUGCCGGAAAAGGUCCAGACCCCAGAUGUGGGUGAAAUUUCCGUUGGUGAGGACAUGAACAAUGAUGGAGCUGACAGGUUUAGAUCUGAACUAAUUUCUAUUUCUUACAGCCAAUCUCCUGAUAUUACAUUGUCACCUGUAUCCUCCGAGAAGCAGGACGGUUAGCAUGGACCUUCUUCUUUUUUUUCCUUUUCAUCCUUUUUUUUUUUUUUUUUUUUGUAAUGAGCUGUUAAGGACUGACGUUGUUGUGAAAUGUUCUUGCAACAUAAUAUCCUGGCUCAAAUGUGCUCUAGAACUUACUGUAUUUUAAAUGUUUUUGCUACUGACGCUGGGUAGCCUGUCUCUUGAUGUCAGUUUAGAUAGAAGACAUGGAGUAGUUUUGUAUACAUAUAUGUUGUCUGUCACAAUAUAGAAAUGUUACAAAAUGAAUGUGAUUUGGUAUCGUGCUAUAA